This 179-nucleotide non-coding RNA is filed under the name Priestia megaterium. RNAcentral describes it as "Bacillus megaterium 6S RNA". It matches the Rfam family "6S / SsrS RNA". From Rfam's summary of the family: E. coli 6S RNA was the first non coding RNA to be sequenced, but its function was unknown until recently. It consists of 184 nucleotides that fold into an extended hairpin structure with a large single-stranded internal bulge. The 6S RNA specifically associates with RNA polymerase holoenzyme containing the sigma70 specificity factor. Lineage: Bacteria; Bacillati; Bacillota; Bacilli; Caryophanales; Bacillaceae. The record is from RNAcentral.
ACAUACCUGCGCUGUGCGUAUACUCAUGUUGUCUUAAACCUUUGAGUGUUAAAAGGGAGCUCAAAAUUUAGCUCGCAGAUAGCACGCCCUUCUUGGGACGCUAAACCCGGCUAUGAGGGCACCCACCUAGUAGAUCUGGGUAUUUAAGACACUUAGGGUUACGGCAGUGCGGGCUUAUU